This 253-nucleotide ribosomal RNA is filed under the name uncultured bacterium. RNAcentral describes it as "partial 16S ribosomal RNA". It matches the Rfam family "Bacterial small subunit ribosomal RNA", at positions 524 to 776 of the family's 1533-position model. The record is from RNAcentral.
UACGUAGGCAGCGAGCGUUGUUCGGAGUUACUGGGCGUAAAGGGUGUGUAGGCGGUUUUCUAAGUUUGGUGUGAAAUCUCCCGGCUCAACCGGGAGGGUGCGCCGAAAACUGGGAGACUAGAGUGCGGGAUGGGAGAGUAGAAUUCCUGGUGUAGCGGUGAAAUGCGUAGAUAUCAGGAGGAACACCGGUGGCGAAGGCGGGUCUCUGGGCCGUAACUGACGCUGAGGAGCGAAAGCGUGGGGAGCGAACAGG